CCUACGGGAGGCAGCAGUGGGGAAUAUUGCACAAUGGGCGAAAGCCUGAUGCAGCCAUGCCGCGUGUGUGAAGAAGGCUUCGGGUUGUAAAGCACUUUCAGUAGGGAGGAAAGGUUAACGAUUAAUACUCGUUAGCUGUGACGUUACCUGCAGAAGAAGGACCGGCUAACUCCGUGCCAGCAGCCGCGGUAAU
RNAcentral lists this ribosomal RNA (193 nucleotides) under gamma proteobacterium T20. RNAcentral's name for it is "partial 16S ribosomal RNA". It matches the Rfam family "Bacterial small subunit ribosomal RNA", at positions 338 to 524 of the family's 1533-position model. Lineage: Bacteria; Pseudomonadati; Pseudomonadota; Gammaproteobacteria. The record is from RNAcentral.